UGCUUAGUACGGCGAGUGAGCGGCAAAAGCUCAAAUUUGAAAUCUGGUACCUUCGGUGCCCGAGUUGUAAUUUGGAGAGGGCAACUUUGGGGCCGUUCCUUGUCUAUGUUCCUUGGAACAGGACGUCAUAGAGGGUGAGAAUCCCGUGUGGCGAGGAGUGCGGUUCUUUGUAAAGUGCCUUCGAAGAGUCGAGUUGUUUGGGAAUGCAGCUCUAAGUGGGUGGUAAAUUCCAUCUAAAGCUAAAUAUUGGCGAGAGACCGAUAGCGAACAAGUACAGUGAUGGAAAGAUGAAAAGAACUUUGAAAAGAGAGUGAAAAAGUA
This 321-nucleotide ribosomal RNA is filed under the name Saccharomyces cerevisiae (brewer's yeast). RNAcentral's name for it is "eukaryotic LSU rRNA". It matches the Rfam family "Eukaryotic large subunit ribosomal RNA", at positions 76 to 397 of the family's 3401-position model. The record is from RNAcentral. Lineage: Eukaryota; Fungi; Ascomycota; Saccharomycetes; Saccharomycetales; Saccharomycetaceae.